Brassica rapa (field mustard) is the source of this 95-nucleotide non-coding RNA. The record is from Rfam. Lineage: Eukaryota; Viridiplantae; Streptophyta; Magnoliopsida; Brassicales; Brassicaceae.
GAAUGUGUAUGAGGAGAAACAAAAAUCAAAAUACAGUUAUCCCUGGCUUAGGCUUCUUAAGCCGUUGAUGAAUCUUUUGUAAUCUGACCACAUCA